GGUGUAACGAAAAGCUAGAAUGCAAAAAUAUCAACUUUGAUAAUUUUAAUCAAAAUUGUCCAAGUUGGACACGAUUGCGUAAAAUCGAUUUCUUGAACCACCCUGAUAUCUGCAUAUCAGUGCGUCAGUGUUAAUUGAAACUUUUGAUCAAUGUUUUACUAGCGACAUUGACUUAAUCCUCCUCAAAGCCCCCCAAUUGAUUAUUUCACUUAAAAACAAAGAUAUCGAUACAGCAAAUGUUAUCUAAAGCGCCUUUUCUAGAUAGUUCGCAAAAUAUUUCUUCGUUUAACAAACCGUCUGCUGAUCCACUUGAAAUCAUUCGAAUAAUUAUAGUCAAAGAGAAAGGACGCAAUUCGUAAAAAAAUGAGUAGAUUUUAUAAUUUAACUUUGUUCGUAAUCUUGACCGCGACGGUCAUCAUCGGUUCAACUACAGCGUACUAUUGCGAUGGACUGAUUGGAGGAAUGCUCAUCAAAUGGCAUGAGCCUGAGGUCUGCGAACGAUUCUACGCCUGUCAGCACGGUACGGACCAUGAAUGGUUCUGUCCGCCAGGUGAAUUUUUCAGUCAAAGGAACCAACAAUGUGAGAGUACGUGCAAUCCAGUGGAUCAAAACCAAUGGUGUGCAGGACUUCCUGAUGGAAUAUUCAUCCGUGUUCCUCCGAAUGAACCAUUCGAUUGCAACAAGUACUAUACCUGUGUAGGAGG
Ochlerotatus camptorhynchus is the source of this 704-nucleotide long non-coding RNA. RefSeq lists it as uncharacterized. NCBI's taxonomy places the organism in Eukaryota, Metazoa, Arthropoda, Insecta, Diptera, Culicidae. The record is from RefSeq and is a predicted model, not a curated record. The transcript is spliced from 2 exons.